UUGAUCCUGGCUCAGGACGAACGCUGGCGGCGCGCCUAACACAUGCAAGUCGAGCGGAGAUGUACGGAUGAAGUUUUCGGAUGGAUUCCAUACAUUUUAGCGGCGGACGGGUGAGUAACGCGUGAGUGACCUGCCUUCCACAGGGGGAUAACGUACCGAAAGGUACACUAAUACCGCAUGAGACCCCGGCACUGCCUGGUGCAGAGGUCAAAGGAGCAAUCCGGUGGAAGAUGGACUCGCGUCCGAUUAGAUAGUUGGUGGGGUAAUGGCCUACCAAGUCAGCGAUCGGUAGCCGACCUGAGAGGGAUUAAUUCGCCACCACCUGGAACUGAGGAGACGGUCCAGACUCCUACGGGAGGCAGCAGUGGGGAAUAUUGGGCAAUGGGGGAAACCUGACCCAGCGACGCCGCGUGAGGGAAGAAGGUUUUCGGAUGUAAACCUCUGUUCUUGGUGAAGAGUGGAAGACGGUAACCAAGGAGGAAGCCCCGGCUAACUACGUGCCAGCAGCCGCGGUAAUACGUAGGGGGCGAGCGUUGUCCGGAAUGAUUGGGCGUAAAGGGCGCGUAGGCGGCUGUUUAAGUCUGGAGUGGAAGUCCUAUUUUUAAGGUAGGAAUUGCUUUGGAAACUGAGCAGCUUGAGUGCAGGAGAGGUCAUCGGAAUUCCCGGUGUAGCGGUGAAAUGCGUAGAGAUCGGGAGGAACACCAGUGGCGAAGGCGGGUGACUGGACUGCAACUGACGCUGAGGCGCGAAAGUGUGGGGAGCAAACAGGAUUAGAUACCCUGGUAGUCCACACUGUAAACGAUGAAUGCUAGGUGUAGGGGGUAUCGACCCCUUCUGUGCCGCAGUCAACACAAUAAGCAUUCCGCCUGGGGAGUACGGUCGCAAGAUUAAAACUCAAAGGAAUUGACGGGGGCCCGCACAAGCAGCGGAGCAUGUGGUUUAAUUCGAAGCAACGCGAAGAACCUUACCAGGUCUUGACAUCCAGGUAAAGCUGCAGAGAUGCAGUGUGUGCUUGCACAAUCUGAGACAGGUGGUGCAUGGUGUCGUCAGCUCGUGUCGUGAGAAUGUUGGGUUAAGUCCCGCCAACGAGCGCACCCCCUGCGAAUAGUUACUAACAGUAAAGUUGAGACUCUAUUGGGAACUGCCGUGGACAACACGAGAAAGAGUGGGGGACGACUCUCAAACAUCAUGCCCUUAUGACCUGGGCUACACACGUGCUACAAUGGUCGCAACAAAGAGGAGCAAAACCGUAAGGUAGAGCAGAUCUCAAAAACGCGAUCUCAGUUCGGAUUGUGGGCUGCAACCCGCCCACAUGAAGUAGGAGUUGCUAGUAAUCGCGAAUCAGCAUGUCGCGGUGAAUACGUUCCCGGGCCUUGUACACACCGC
Molecule: ribosomal RNA, 1386 nt
Filed under: uncultured Eubacteriales bacterium
Lineage: Bacteria; Bacillati; Bacillota; Clostridia; Eubacteriales
Description: bacterial SSU rRNA
Rfam family: Bacterial small subunit ribosomal RNA
Source: RNAcentral